RNAcentral lists this ribosomal RNA (301 nucleotides) under uncultured bacterium. Its description in RNAcentral is "partial 16S ribosomal RNA". It matches the Rfam family "Bacterial small subunit ribosomal RNA", at positions 509 to 807 of the family's 1533-position model. The record is from RNAcentral.
CAGUAGCCGCGGUAAUACGAAGGGGGCUAGCGUUGUUCGGAAUUACUGGGCGUAAAGCGCACGUAGGCGGAUAUUUAAGUCAGGGGUGAAAUCCCGCAGCUCAACUGCGGAACUGCCUUUGAUACUGGGUAUCUUGAGUAUGGAAGAGGUUAGUGGAAUUGCGAGUGUAGAGGUGAAAUUCGUAGAUAUUCGCAGGAACACCAGUGGCGAAGGCGGCUAACUGGUCCAUAACUGACGCUCAGGUGCGAAAGCGUGGGGAGCAAACAGGAUUAGAUACCCGAGUAGUCCCUGUCUCUUAUAC